Molecule: RNA transcript, 2370 nt
Organism: Triticum dicoccoides
Lineage: Eukaryota; Viridiplantae; Streptophyta; Magnoliopsida; Poales; Poaceae
Exons: 5
Source: RefSeq, a predicted model, not a curated record
GUUCUCUCGUUCUCUCCUUUCUCUUCUAGAGCAUGCCUGGGCAGGCCCUUUCCCCUGCUCUAGAUCAGCGAGCGGCCAUGGCCGGCUCCUACCCCCGCCAAGGCAAAUCGCGGGGGAGGGCCACCACGCGCCAUGUCCUUCCACCCACGUGAGAGGAAACCAUGGUAGGGUGCUCCACGCUCGCGCGGAUCUCCCGAGGAAGGAGGAGACGAUGGAGCGGGGGAGCUGUAGGUGUCGUGCACCGACCGUGCUGCGACAGGGGAAGGGUACACACGCCGGUGAUGGCGUACCCCCGCGCGCAACUGGCGAGUGGCGGAGCUGGUCCCCGGCUACGGUGGAGUUGCAAGCGGCAAGGGGCAAAGCUGCAACCGGCAAGCGGCGGAGCUGGAACCGGCCUGAGAAGGAGCUGGAAACAUUUGAUUUUUUUGCUGGAAGGCUCUUCAGAGCUACGAUGAUGGAACAACACACUUUUUUGCUGGAAGUGAUGUUUCUUUUUGCUGGAAGCGUCACUUUGGAUUGCUACUGUCGAUGCAUCACGACGAGCGGCAGAGCUUCAUAUCUGCAAUGGGGACAAGAGAAAAGCUACGACAGUUGAGGGAAAAAGCUACAACCAGUGUUUUUUUGCUGUCACCGAUGUCUGGUUUUCUUUCACUGGGACGUACGACCUGUGGUGGCGGACGGCCGUCGCCGGCAGCACGGUGAUGCCUCGAGCGACGAAGCGUCGGGGCGAGAUUCGACGGCGAGCGUCAGGGGCAGUGCGGCGACCCGCGGCGACGGGCGAGCGCGCGAGGGUGGGUGCUUCGAGGUCGGUUGUGUGCUCGUUCAUGAAGAGUCCGAGUAGGAAGAACGAGCAGGGGGGAGAAACAAGAUCGUGCGGCUACGAAGCGCUUUUAUCGUGCGGUCCUGGUGUGACCGGCCCAAAGUUGGGCCGGCACGCCGGCGCCUAUUAGCUCCCUUUCUGAAUUUAGUCAGCACUUAUUGCAAAAUGUUCACCACAGAAUAAUCCAAUUUAUGUACUGCUUAUGUUACAUCUGGAAACCAAGAAUGUGGUGGGUUAAAUUUUUCAAAGCCAAAAUUACUCCUAUGGGAUUAUAAAUUAAGGAACUACUUCUAUGGAUAGUGCAAAGGAGACUAUUUGGAUAAUUAUUUCCAAUCUUUUAGGACAAAAUACUCCUAGCUGUAGUCCCUAGAAUAUUCAGUCAGAAGAUGCCCAAAUGUAGAUGGUGUUGAGCAUGCAUGAUUGUUUCCUGGGUCAAAUUUAGAUGGUGUUUGCCAAUAGAGAGGGAGACGUGUAUUUUUGAAUGAAAAAAGUGAUGUGUUGAUCUGCUGCUGCUAUUGUAAUUCAGCUGAUUUGCUGCUAUUGUAAUUCAGAUCAUCAUCUGCUGCUAUUUCUCCUGCUGCUAUCACUAUUGAUCUGCUGCUUUUUUUGGAACGUGGACGCUAGAGGCGUCUGACUUUAAAUUAAAGCCACUAGGCAGCAUCCACACAAAGUUUAAAACAUACAAACCAAACAAAGGUAAAACAUCGGGCCUCUCAUCUCGGCAAAGUCUGAGUUUCUUAUGCCUGUGCAUAAUGGUAUAAUUAUGGCGGUUCUUUGGAUUUUUAUGUAUUCUGGAGUAUACUUACAUUAACAGGUUUGAGAGUGCAUAAACUAGGAAUUUUUCAUACUGGUGAUUAAUUGGUUCAGAAUAGAGUUGACCAGACGUCUGUUUGUACUGUAGUUCAAUGAGGAAGCGCGGACACUUCGUUUAAAGAAAUACAAGACUAUCAUUCACCCAGGUAAUUGGCUAUUUUCCUCUUGUCUGAUGCAACAAUUGGAUGCUUAGGAUAUGAAUGGAGUUCAUUGUAUUUGUAGGUGAGUCAUGAAUCUGCAGCCUGCUCCCAUGUCUUUUCUCACUGGAGACACCUCCCACCGGCGCCGGCGAUGACCUCUACCCUGCUACUCUCCUUGCAAGGCACCUCUACCUCUCCUCUGAAGAAUGGGAAUGUUCCUCGGCACAAUGAGGAAUGUCAACGGAGGAACAACCUUUUUAUUUUAUUUUCUGUUGGCUCUUCUGUAUUGUUGCGGCCACAAAGAUUUACCGGGACACGGAGCCAUCAUGAUGUGUUUAAAAGUGGUUACAUUAUCCUUUUCUAACCUGAUGGUGUUAGAAACAUCUUAGCAUUCAAGCAGAUUUAGUUCAUUACUUAUUAAUUCCAAUUAUGUAAAAAAAUCAUUGAUCAUCGCUUGACAGAAAAUAUUUUGAUAUGCCAUCAUGUGCAAGGGCGAUGAACCUGGAUGUUAUUUACAUGUUUUGGAUGAUGGAUGAUUGUUUUGAAUGAAAAACUGUUAGAUAAAAGAAAGCAUGUGAUAAUGCUUAUAGAUUGAAA